ACGGUAGCACAGAGGAGCUUGCUCCUUGGGUGACGAGCGGCGGACGGGUGAGUAAUGUCUGGGAAACUGCCCGAUGGAGGGGGAUAACUACUGGAAACGGUAGCUAAUACCGCAUAACGUCGCAAGACCAAAGAGGGGGACCUUCGGGCCUCUUGCCAUCGGAUGUGCCCAGAUGGGAUUAGCUAGUAGGUGGGGUAACGGCUCACCUAGGCGACGAUCCCUAGCUGGUCUGAGAGGAUGACCAGCCGCACUGGAACUGAGACACGGUCCAGACUCCUACGGGAGGCAGCAGUGGGGAAUAUUGCACAAUGGGCGCAAGCCUGAUGCAGCCAUGCCGCGUGUAUGAAGAAGGCCUUCGGGUUGUAAAGUACUUUCAGCGAGGAGGAAGGCGUUGCGGUUAAUAACCGCAGCGAUUGACGUUACUCGCAGAAGAAGCACCGGCUAACUCCGUGCCAGCAGCCGCGGUAAUACGGAGGGUGCAAGCGUUAAUCGGAAUUACUGGGCGUAAAGCGCACGCAGGCGGUCUGUCAAGUCGGAUGUGAAAUCCCCGGGCUCAACCUGGGAACUGCAUCCGAAACUGGCAGGCUAGAGUCUUGUAGAGGGGGGUAGAAUUCCAGGUGUAGCGGUGAAAUGCGUAGAGAUCUGGAGGAAUACCGGUGGCGAAGGCGGCCCCCUGGACAAAGACUGACGCUCANGUGCGAAAGCGUGGGGAGCAAACAGNAUUAGAUACCCUGGUAGUCCACGCCGUAAACGAUGUCGACUUGGAGGUUGUGCCCUUGAGGCGUGGCUUCCGGAGCUAACGCGUUA
Molecule: ribosomal RNA, 807 nt
Filed under: uncultured bacterium
Lineage: Bacteria
Description: bacterial SSU rRNA
Rfam family: Bacterial small subunit ribosomal RNA
Source: RNAcentral